RNAcentral lists this ribosomal RNA (340 nucleotides) under uncultured Peptococcaceae bacterium. RNAcentral's name for it is "bacterial SSU rRNA". It matches the Rfam family "Bacterial small subunit ribosomal RNA", at positions 1040 to 1382 of the family's 1533-position model. Lineage: Bacteria; Bacillati; Bacillota; Clostridia; Eubacteriales; Peptococcaceae. The record is from RNAcentral.
GCUGCAUGGCUGCCGUCAGCUCGUGUCGUGAGAUGUUGGGUUAAGUCCGCAACGAGCGCAACCCCUAUCUUUAGUUGCCAUCAUUGAGUUGGGCACUCUAAAGAGACUGCCGUUGACAAAACGGAGGAAGGUGGGGAUGACGUCAAAUCAUCAUGCCCCUUAUGUUCUGGGCUACACACGUGCUACAAUGGCCGGUACAGACGGACGCAAAGCCGCGAGGUGGAGCAAAUCCUAAAAAGCCGGUCUCAGUUCGGAUUGCAGGCUGCAAUUCGCCUGCAUGAAGUCGGAAUCGCUAGUAAUCGCAGGUCAGCAUACUGCGGUGAAUACGUUCCCGGGCCUU